RNAcentral lists this long non-coding RNA (455 nucleotides) under Lotus japonicus. Its description in RNAcentral is "long non-coding RNA (LJAP_LNC000809)". Lineage: Eukaryota; Viridiplantae; Streptophyta; Magnoliopsida; Fabales; Fabaceae. The record is from RNAcentral.
CAAAAAAUAUUUUUUUAUAUUUAAUUAGUAUAACACAUAUUAAAGAUUAAAACAUCAAAAAAAAAAGUUAAUAUAUGGAUUGAUAGGGCUAAAAAAUAAUUCAAGGACUUUAAUAAAAAGCAGUUAAGACUACAAUAUUAGCUAAAAUUACAUUAAAACCAGUCAUGUCUUUUACAUCCAAUAACAGCAAGCCAGAAGCUCAUUCAAGGCCAAGGAAUCUGCUCAUAUUCUCAAUGGGUUGUGUUACAGUUUUUGACGAUGGAUUUUGCAAGUAGACUUUGAAUUAAGUGCUUAAAAUAAGUGAUUCUGAACCUGAGCAUGAGCUGAAAAACAGUAAGUUGGACUUAACAGAACCUAAAAUCAGUAGAACAAUGAGCAGGUAAAGACUUAGAAGUCAUAGCCUAGUGAUAGAUUUAAUUUACAUAAUAUGGCUUAGGUAAUUAAAAUAAUUAAAU